GCACAAGCGGUGGAGCAUGUGGUUAAUUCGAAGCAACGCGAAGAACCUUACCAGGUCUUGACAUCCCUGACAACCGAGAGAUCGGGCGUUCCCCUUCGGGGGACAGGGUGAAAGGUGUGCAUGGUUGUCGUCAGCCCGUGUCGUGAGAUGUUGGGUUAAGUCCCGCAACGAGCGCAACCCUCGACCUUAGUUGCCAGCAUUCAGUUGGGCACUCUAAGGUGACUGCCGGCUAAAAGUCGGAGGAAGGUGGGGAUGACGUCAAAUCAUCAUGCCCCUUAUGACCUGGGCUACACACGUGCUACAAUGGGCGGUACAAAGGGUCGCGAACCCGCGAGGGGGAGCCAAUCCCACAAAGCCAGUCGUAGUCCGGAUCGUAGUCUGCAACUCGACUACGUGAAGUCGGAAUCGCUAGUAAUCGUGGAUCAGCAUGUCACGGUGAAUACGUUCCCGGGUCUU
This 456-nucleotide ribosomal RNA is filed under the name uncultured Anoxybacillus sp. RNAcentral describes it as "bacterial SSU rRNA". It matches the Rfam family "Bacterial small subunit ribosomal RNA", at positions 923 to 1382 of the family's 1533-position model. Lineage: Bacteria; Bacillati; Bacillota; Bacilli; Caryophanales; Anoxybacillaceae. The record is from RNAcentral.